AGACCCCACAGGACCCCCAAAUCCCAACCCCCUCCAGCCUCACCAUGACCACCGAGAGCCCCUUCAGGGAGGUGAUCGAGGCCAUCGCCGAAAGCGCCUUCAAGACGUCGCCGUUCCCGGUGAUUUUGUCCUUCGAGAACCACGUGGACUCGGCGAAGCAACAGGCGAAAAUGGCCGAGUACUGCAGGAGCAUCUUCGGGCCGGCGCUGCUGACGGAGCCCCUGGACAAGUACCCGGUGGGGCUGGGGG
Corapipo altera (White-ruffed manakin) is the source of this 249-nucleotide long non-coding RNA. RefSeq lists it as uncharacterized. The record is from RefSeq and is a predicted model, not a curated record. The transcript is spliced from 3 exons. Lineage: Eukaryota; Metazoa; Chordata; Aves; Passeriformes; Pipridae.